This 2225-nucleotide long non-coding RNA is filed under the name Homo sapiens (human). RNAcentral's name for it is "HSALNT0352560". Lineage: Eukaryota; Metazoa; Chordata; Mammalia; Primates; Hominidae. The record is from RNAcentral.
UAUGCUACAAACUUCUAAGCUAAAAUAUUUUCAAUGUAUGCAAGGAUAGGUGGCAUACACAUUAUAUAUUAUUCCCCCAUUAAGCAAAUUUAUAAUGAGAGAAAAUUAUCUUCCAUAAAAAAAUAAAAGCCAUGUAAAAUUAAGGACUAAGUUUUUCAGCACAGACUAGACAACGAUUGCUAACACAUAAGGUCAAUGACAGAACAGUCAGAGAAAGCUUCAUGAAAACAAAAAAAUUGUCUGCCAGGUCUGAAUGAAUGAGGCUAGAUGAACAGAAACUGAGAAGGCAGAAAGAAUAGCAUGAGCAAGACAAGUGCUGAAAUCUGCCCAAUUAACUCUGAGGAUAAAGUCCAAUGGCAGGGAAAUAAAAACCCGUGUCCACAUAAUAACCUGUAAGUGAAUGUUCACAGCAGCAUUUUUCAUAAUAGCUAAAAAGUGGAAACUAACCUAAAGGUCCAUCAACUGAUGAACGAAUGGAAAACCAGUAUAGCCAUGGAAUAGAAUAUCAUUUAACUAUAAGAAGAAAUAAACUACGAAUGUGUGCUAAAACAUGCAUGAAUUCUGAAAACAUUAUGCUAAGUGAAAAAGCCAGUCACAAAGGACUACAUAUUGUAUAACUCUAUGUAUAUGAAAUAUGCAGAACAGGCAAACAUAUGGAGACAAAAGUAGACGGUGGUUGCCUACAACAGGGGUAGGUGGAGGGACAUGGAGGAAGGCUGCAGUCAUGCCUAGGAGAUGUGGGGUCACUUUUCAGGGUGACGAAAAUGCUGUGAACAUACUAAUAGACACUGAGUUGUACAUUUUAAAUGGUUGAACUGUCUGAUAUGUGAAUGACAUCUCAGUGAAUCUUUUUAAAAUCCAAAGGCAGGAUCAAGAUAAUUUUCUCAACUCUUAAUUUUUGAUGUACAUGCUAUAUCAAAUCUAAAUAUUUCUACAGUUUUACAGUAUAUUUUAAAUAAAAGAUAAAGAAAAUGCCUAACUUUUCAAAUAGUUUGUAAAUUAACCUAAAACAUGCACAUUUCAAAGAAUAGUAUAAUGGCCUUUCUGUACAAGUUAACCUAGAAUCUGUGAAACAAAUAGACACAGAUUCUGUGUCCAUUCACAAAAGUGAAGAAAUAAGACAAUUUUCUGGAACAUUCCAUGAAACAUUCUCCUCUGAUUUAAUCUGGCUUGCCUCAUCAGAGCAAUACACAAAUUACUUAAAAAUACUGUUUAACAGGAAAAAAGUCAAUUUUCUAUGAGGAAUGAUGUAUAAUUCUCAACUUUUCCAAGGGUACAUAUUGUAAGAGAAAAGGUAUGCAAUGGUUUUUCAAAAUGGUAUAAUGAAAGUCACAAUAUAAAAAAAAGUACAUUAUAAAGAUAGUAAAAUGGAAAUCAUUCAUUAUAAUGAAAAUAAAAAAUCAAGCUUCUGCCAAAAUUAGUAUCCUAAAACACGUUAUAUAAUUCAACUAGCUACAGAAUAACUGUUGACAUGUUAAAUUCCAUACAUACUUGACUUUUCACUUGAAAUAAUUUCUUAUUUGAGGCCUGUGUCUCAUCCAAAUUAAUAUGACAACGUGAUAUACCUUCCAGUGGAGACUCUAACGUCGUUAAUUUUUUUACGCUGUCAGCCACUUCUUGUUGAAGUUGUCUCACAACCACCUGAUAAAAUAUUUGUUACUGAUUUUAUAAACUGCCUUAUUAAAUUAUGUUAAUAAUGUUUAAUUUCCUGCCAAAUUGGUAUUCUCUUACUUACACAACAGAUUCAUUCCAACAUUCAAUCAUCUCAGAAGCUCAACUCAGCCUCAAAGUUCCUAACAUAUUCAAUCACCUGUUCAAAUCCUUCCAACAGAUUCCUAUCUCAGAAUAAAAGUAAAAUUCCAAUGGCCUUUGAGGCCCUAGGUAAAAAGGCCUCUACCUCCCUCUCUGACUUCAAAGCUCCUACAACUCCCUCCUGUAAUUACUCCAUUCCCACUGUAUGUGAAGCCUGCCACCCCUCAGUCUGAAAAUGGAGAUGUAGUGCCUAACUCGUAAAUCACAGACAGCUACAAGUAUCUUUGUACUGAACAAAAUUAUAUUCCAAUGACAGUCAUUGAGCCUUGCAAUAAAAAUUAUGAGCUAAUUAUUAAUAUAAAUAUUCAAAGUAAACUAUAAAUACCAGUGGGAAAACUAAACCAAAUAUAGUUUUGCUAAGUUUUACCACAUUUAUCCUAAAUUAUGAUUUUAUAACAAGUAGGUGCCUUUAA